GAUGAACGCUGGCGGCGUGCCUAAUACAUGCGAGUCGAGCGAACAGACGAGGAGCUUGCUCCUCUGACGUUAGCGGCGGACGGGUGAGUAACACGUGGAUAACCUACCUAUAAGACUGGGAUAACUUCGGGAAACCGGGGCUAAUACCGGAUAAUAUAUUGAACCGCAUGGUUCAAUAGUGAAAGACGGUUUUGCUGUCACUUAUAGAUGGAUCCGCGCCGCAUUAGCUAGUUGGUAAGGUAACGGCUUACCAAGGCGACGAUGCGUAGCCGACCUGAGAGGGUGAUCGGCCACACUGGAACUGAGACACGGUCCAGACUCCUACGGGAGGCAGCAGUAGGGAAUCUUCCGCAAUGGGCGAAAGCCUGACGGAGCAACGCCGCGUGAGUGAUGAAGGUCUUCGGAUCGUAAAACUCUGUUAUUAGGGAAGAACAAAUGUGUAAGUAACUAUGCACGUCUUGACGGUACCUAAUCAGAAAGCCACGGCUAACUACGUG
RNAcentral lists this ribosomal RNA (497 nucleotides) under uncultured bacterium. Its description in RNAcentral is "partial 16S ribosomal RNA". It matches the Rfam family "Bacterial small subunit ribosomal RNA", at positions 28 to 507 of the family's 1533-position model. The record is from RNAcentral.